UUGGGCGUAAGAGCUUGUAGGCGGUUCGUCGCGUCUGGUGUGAAAGCCCAUCGCUUAACGGUGGGUUUGCGCCGGGUACGGGCGGGCUAGAGUGCAGUAGGGGAGACUGGAAUUCUCGGUGUAACGGUGGAAUGUGUAGAUAUCGGGAAGAACACCAAUGGCGAAGGCAGGUCUCUGGGCUGUUACUGACGCUGAGAAGCGAAAGCGUGGGGAGCGAACAGGAUUAGAUACCCUGGUAGUCCACGCCGUAAACGGUGGACGCUGGAUGUGGGGCCCAUUCCACGGGUUCUGUGUCGGAGCUAACGCGUUAAGCGUCCCGCCUGGGGAGUACGGCCGCAAGGCUAAAACUCAAAGAAAUUGACGGGGGCCCGCACAAGCGGCGGGGCAUGCGGAUUAAUUCGAUGCAACGCGAAGAACCUUACCUGGGCUUGACAUGUGCCUGACGACUGCAGAGAUGUGGUUUCCUUUCGGGGCAGGUUCACAGGUGGUGCAUGGUCGUCGUCAGCUUGUGUCGUGAGAUGUUGGGUUAAGUCCCGCAACGAGCGCAACCCUCGCCCUGUGUUGCCAGCGGGUUAUGCCGGGAACUCACGGGGGACCGCCGGGGUUAACUCGGAGGAAGGUGGGGAUGA
This 629-nucleotide ribosomal RNA is filed under the name uncultured bacterium. RNAcentral's name for it is "bacterial SSU rRNA". It matches the Rfam family "Bacterial small subunit ribosomal RNA", at positions 554 to 1182 of the family's 1533-position model. The record is from RNAcentral.